UAUAAAUGACAUCGCAUUUAAGCCUGAUGGAACUCAACUGAUUUUGGCUGCCGGAAGCAGAUUACUGGUUUAUGACACCUCUGAUGGCACCUUACUUCAGCCCCUCAAGGGACACAAAGACACUGUGUACUGUGUGGCAUAUGCGAAGGAUGAGAGGAACGUAAUGACAUCCUGGCUGUGGCUGACUGGGGACAGAAAGUUUCCUUCUACCAACUGAGUGGAAAACAGAUUGGAAAGGAUCGGGCACUGAACUUUGACCCCUGCUGCAUCAGCUACUUUACUAAAGGCGAGUACAUUUUGCUGGGGGGUUCAGACAAGCAAGUAUCUCUUUUCACCAAGGAUGGAGUGCGGCUUGGGACUGUUGGGGAGCAGAACUCCUGGGUGUGGACGUGUCAAGCGAAACCGGAUUCCAACUAUGUGGU
RNAcentral lists this small RNA (422 nucleotides) under Pan troglodytes (chimpanzee). RNAcentral's name for it is "processed transcript". Lineage: Eukaryota; Metazoa; Chordata; Mammalia; Primates; Hominidae. The record is from RNAcentral. RNAcentral also lists the same sequence under 1 other name.